Molecule: ribosomal RNA, 383 nt
Filed under: uncultured eukaryote
Lineage: Eukaryota
Description: partial 18S ribosomal RNA
Rfam family: Eukaryotic small subunit ribosomal RNA
Source: RNAcentral
CAAUAGCGUAUAUUAAAGUUGUUGCAGUUAAAAAGCUCGUAGUUGGAUUUCUGGUGGGAGCGAUCGGUCUGGCGCUUAGCGCGAGUACUUGCAUCGUCUCCGGCCAUCCUUGGGGAGAGUCUGUCUGGCAUUAAGUUGUCGGGCAGAGGAUCCUCAUCGUUUACUGUGAAAAAAUUAGAGUGUUCAAUGCAGGCUUAUGCCGUUGAAUAUAUUAGCAUGGAAUAAUAAGAUAGGACUUUGGUACUAUUUUGUUGGUUUGCGCACCAAAGUAAUGAUUAAUAGGGACAGUUGGGGGUAUUCGUAUUCCGUUGUCAGAGGUGAAAUUCUUGGAUUUACGGAAGACGAACUACUGCGAAAGCAUUUACCAAGGAUGUUUUCAUUAA